This 253-nucleotide ribosomal RNA is filed under the name uncultured bacterium. RNAcentral's name for it is "partial 16S ribosomal RNA". It matches the Rfam family "Bacterial small subunit ribosomal RNA", at positions 524 to 776 of the family's 1533-position model. The record is from RNAcentral.
UACAGAGGGUGCGAGCGUUGUUCGGAAUUAUUGGGCGUAAAGCGCUUGUAGGCGGCACGUCAAGUCGCGUGUGAAAUCCCCAGGCUUAACCUGGGAAGUGCGCGCGAAACUGACGAGCUUGAGUGCCGGAGAGGGUCGCGGAAUUCCCGGUGUAGAGGUGAAAUUCGUAGAUAUCGGGAGGAACACCAGUGGCGAAGGCGGCGACCUGGACUGACACUGACGCUGAGACACGAAAGCGUGGGGAGCAAACAGG